Molecule: ribosomal RNA, 663 nt
Filed under: uncultured bacterium
Lineage: Bacteria
Description: bacterial SSU rRNA
Rfam family: Bacterial small subunit ribosomal RNA
Source: RNAcentral
AGUGGCGGACGGGUGAGUAACGCGUGAGAAUCUGCCUUCAGGAGGGGGACAACAGUUGGAAACGGCUGCUAAUACCCCGUAAGUCUACGGAUAAAACGGUUAAUUCCGCCUGAAGAUGAGCUCGCGUCGGAUUAGCUAGUUGGUGGGGUAAAGGCUUACCAAGGCGACGAUCCGUAGCUGGUCUGAGAGGAUGAUCAGCCACACUGGGACUGAGACACGGCCCAGACUCCUACGGGAGGCAGCAGUGGGGAAUUUUCCGCAAUGGGCGAAAGCCUGACGGAGCAACGCCGCGUGCGGGAGGACGGCCUGUGGGUUGUAAACCGCUUUUCUCAGGGAAGAAGAUCUGACGGUACCUGAGGAAUCAGCAUCGGCUAACUCCGUGCCAGCAGCCGCGGUAAUACGGAGGAUGCAAGCGUUAUCCGGAUUUAUUGGGCGUAAAGCGUCCGCAGGCGGCUAAUCAAGUCUGCUGUUAAAGGCCGAGGCUUAACUUCGGUUGAGCAGUGGAAACUGAUUAGCUAGAGUGCGAUAGGGGUAGAGGGAAUUCCCAGUGUAGCGGUGAAAUGCGUAGAUAUUGGGAAGAACACCAGUGGCAAAGGCGCUCUACUGGGUCGCAACUGACGCUGAGGGACGAAAGCUAGGGGAGCGAAAGGGAUUAGAUACCCC